Molecule: ribosomal RNA, 216 nt
Filed under: Glomeromycotina sp.
Lineage: Eukaryota; Fungi; Glomeromycota
Description: partial small subunit ribosomal RNA
Rfam family: Eukaryotic small subunit ribosomal RNA (bases 87-216)
Source: RNAcentral
GGGUCAGGAGGUUGGUCGUGCCACCGGUACGUACUGGUCUCACUGAUUCCUCCUUCCUGAAGAACCGUAAUGCCAUUAAUUCGGUGUUGCGGGGAAAUAGGACUGUUACUUUGAAAAAAUUAGAGUGUUUAAAGCAAGCUAACGCUUGAAUACACUAGCAUGGAAUAAUGAAAUAGGACGAUCGAUCCUAUUUUGUUGGUUUCUAGGAUUGACGUA